RNAcentral lists this non-coding RNA (557 nucleotides) under Pongo abelii (Sumatran orangutan). Lineage: Eukaryota; Metazoa; Chordata; Mammalia; Primates; Hominidae. The record is from RNAcentral.
UGUUCGUCUUCUCUGCAAAAGACAGCAUUUAAGGCACCAUCUUGGAAGUAAAGACUGGGCACUCACCAGACACUGAACCUGCUGGCAUUUGGAUUUUGAACUUCCCAGCCUCCAUAACUGUCUAACCAUAAAAUCAUCAAUACUGGCAAAUUAAAAGGGGAACAUGUCAGGCCUCACUCUUUCUGUACUGGCUUUCAAGAGUAUUGUCUUUGGUGAGGAAGACAAAGUGACUGGGCUCAGUAACUCGCCCGAGUCACAGAGUCAAAGCAGGAGCUGGACCCAGACAGUCCAGAGCUCAUGCUCGUACACACUUCACUUCGCUAUCCUGAAUGAAAAAACCAAGACUCCAGGAGGGCUGCAGCUUUGUCCAAGGUGUCAUGACUUGCCCACAGCCACCCUCUUGGCAAAUGACCCACUAAACUCCACCUCCGGCUCUUCUACCUCCAGAGCCUGUGUCUGUAUGUCUUCCUUUUGGAGCUUUCUUUCUUGUUAUUCUUUAUGUUUCAAUUUUUAAAAUUAUAGUCAAAUAUACACAACGUGAAUUUUGGCCAUUUUAA